GACGAACGCUGGCGGCGUGCUUAACACAUGCAAGUCGAACGGAAAGGCCCUGCUUUUGUGGGGUGCUCGAGUGGCGAACGGGUGAGUAACACGUGAGUAACCUGCCCUUGACUUUGGGAUAACUUCAGGAAACUGGGGCUAAUACCGGAUAGGAGCUCCUGAUGCAUGGUGGGGGUUGGAAAGUUUCGGCGGUUGGGGCUGGACUCGCGGCUUAUCCGCUGGUUGGUGGGGUAGUGGCUUACCAAGGCUUUGACGGGUAGCCGGCCUGAGAGGGUGACCGGGGACCAUGGGACUGCGAUACGGCGCAGACGCCUAUGGGAGGCAGUAGUGGGGAAUAUGGCACAAUGGGCGGAAGCCUGAGGCAGCAGCGCCGCGUGCGUGAUGACGGCUUUCGGGUUGUAAACCGCUUUCGCAUGUGACGAAGCGUGCGUGACGGUAAUGGGUCAAGAAGCACCGGCUAACUACGUG
This 468-nucleotide ribosomal RNA is filed under the name uncultured bacterium. RNAcentral's name for it is "partial 16S ribosomal RNA". It matches the Rfam family "Bacterial small subunit ribosomal RNA", at positions 28 to 507 of the family's 1533-position model. The record is from RNAcentral.